Molecule: ribosomal RNA, 387 nt
Filed under: uncultured bacterium
Lineage: Bacteria
Description: bacterial SSU rRNA
Rfam family: Bacterial small subunit ribosomal RNA
Source: RNAcentral
GAUGAACGCUAGCGGCAGGCCUAAUACAUGCAAGUCGAGGGGCAGCAUGGCACUUCGGUGCCGAUGGCGACCGGCGAACGGGUGCGUAACGCGUAUGCAAUCUACCUUGUACAGGGGGAUAGCCAUUGGAAACGGUGAUUAAUACCCCAUAUUGUCUAUUUGGCGCAUGCCUUAUAGAUUAAAGCUCCGGCGGUACAAGACGAGCAUGCGUCUCAUUAGCUUGUUGGUGAGGUAAUGGCUCACCAAGGCAACGAUGAGUAGGGGAUCUGAGAGGAUGAUCCUCCACACUGGCACUGAGACACGGGCCAGACUCUUACGGGAGGCAGCAGUAGGGAAUAUUGGUCAAUGGGCGCAAGCCUGAACCAGCCAUGCCGCGUGCAGGAUUGA